GAUGAAGAACGUAGUGAAAUGCGAUAAGUAAUGUGAAUUGCAGAAUUCAGUGAAUCAUCGAAUCUUUGAACGCACAUUGCGCCCCCUGGUAUUCCGGGGGGCAUGCCUGUCCGAGCGUCAUUACAACCCUCAAGCUCAGCUUGGUGUUGGGCCCCGCCGCCCCGGCGGGCCCUAAAGUCAGUGGCGGUGCCGUCCGGCUCCGAGCGUAGUAAUUCUUCUCGCUCUGGAGGUCCGGUCGUGUGCUCGCCAGCAACCCCCAGUUUUUUUCAGGUUGACCUCGGAUCAGGUAGGGAUACCCGCUGAACUUAAGCAUAUCAAUAAGCGGAGGA
RNAcentral lists this unclassified non-coding RNA (329 nucleotides) under soil metagenome. RNAcentral describes it as "partial contains 5.8S ribosomal RNA, internal transcribed spacer 2, and large subunit ribosomal RNA". The stretch from base 1 to 120 matches the Rfam family "5.8S ribosomal RNA", at positions 35 to 154 of the family's 154-position model. The record is from RNAcentral.